This 253-nucleotide ribosomal RNA is filed under the name uncultured bacterium. Its description in RNAcentral is "partial 16S ribosomal RNA". It matches the Rfam family "Bacterial small subunit ribosomal RNA", at positions 524 to 776 of the family's 1533-position model. The record is from RNAcentral.
UACGUAGGUGGCAAGCGUUGUCCGGAUUUACUGGGCGUAAAGAGCGCGCAGGCGGUCGUUCAAGUCGCGUGUGAAAGCCCCCGGCUCAACUGGGGAGGGUCACGCGAUACUGAUCGACUCGAAGGCAGGAGAGGGAAGUGGAAUUCCCGGUGUAGUGGUGAAAUGCGUAGAUAUCGGGAGGAACACCGGUGGCGAAGGCGGAUCUCUGGGCCUGGCCUGACGCUGAGGAGCGAAAGCGUGGGGAGCGAACAGG